This 945-nucleotide ribosomal RNA is filed under the name Bacillus sp. (in: firmicutes). RNAcentral's name for it is "bacterial SSU rRNA". It matches the Rfam family "Bacterial small subunit ribosomal RNA", at positions 55 to 978 of the family's 1533-position model. The record is from RNAcentral. Lineage: Bacteria; Bacillati; Bacillota; Bacilli; Caryophanales; Bacillaceae.
AUGCAAGUCGAGCGGACAGAUGGGAGCUUGCUCCCUGAUGUUAGCGGCGGACGGGUGAGUAACACGUGGGUAACCUGCCUGUAAGACUGGGAUAACUCCGGGAAACCGGGGCUAAUACCGGAUGCUUGUUUGAACCGCAUGGUUCAAACAUAAAAGGUGGCUUCGGCUACCACUUACAGAUGGACCCGCGGCGCAUUAGCUAGUUGGUGAGGUAAUGGCUCACCAAGGCAACGAUGCGUAGCCGACCUGAGAGGGUGAUCGGCCACACUGGGACUGAGACACGGCCCAGACUCCUACGGGAGGCAGCAGUAGGGAAUCUUCCGCAAUGGACGAAAGUCUGACGGAGCAACGCCGCGUGAGUGAUGAAGGUUUUCGGAUCGUAAAGCUCUGUUGUUAGGGAAGAACAAGUACCGUUCGAAUAGGGCGGUACCUUGACGGUACCUAACCAGAAAGCCACGGCUAACUACGUGCCAGCAGCCGCGGUAAUACGUAGGUGGCAAGCGUUGUCCGGAAUUAUUGGGCGUAAAGGGCUCGCAGGCGGUUUCUUAAGUCUGAUGUGAAAGCCCCCGGCUCAACCGGGGAGGGUCAUUGGAAACUGGGGAACUUGAGUGCAGAAGAGGAGAGUGGAAUUCCACGUGUAGCGGUGAAAUGCGUAGAGAUGUGGAGGAACACCAGUGGCGAAGGCGACUCUCUGGUCUGUAACUGACGCUGAGGAGCGAAAGCGUGGGGGAGCGAACAGGAUUAGAUACCCUGGUAGUCCACGCCGUAAACGAUGAGUGCUAAGUGUUAGGGGGUUUCCGCCCCUUAGUGCUGCAGCUAACGCAUUAAGCACUCCGCCUGGGGAUUACGGUCGCAAGACUGAAACUCAAAGGAAUUGACGGGGGCCCGCACAAGCGGUGGAGCAUGUGGUUUUAAUUCGAAGCAACGCGAAAAAACCUUACCAGG